RNAcentral lists this non-coding RNA (2971 nucleotides) under Pan troglodytes (chimpanzee). Lineage: Eukaryota; Metazoa; Chordata; Mammalia; Primates; Hominidae. The record is from RNAcentral.
GCGAUCGUGCCACCGCAGCGAGACCCUGUCUCCAAAAAAAGAGACAGAAAAAGGGGAGGGUUAAGGAAUCAUUUCAGACUCGAAGAGAAUAUGGCCUCUCAAAUUAAAAUGGGCAGUUUCCGCCGAACUUUCAAAGCCGCUUGGUUUGGAGAGGGAGCAGGACGGCCGUGCUUCCCAAGGGUCUCCCGGCGUCGCGGCCCAGCCCGGCGUUACCUGCAGUUCGGCCCGCAGCCGCUUGUUCUCCGUGUCCAGCUUGGCCUCGCGGCGGCCCAUGGACAACAACUCCUGGUUCUUGCUGACGCGAAAGAUCUCGUACUCCUUCUUGAGCCGCUCGUACUCGGCCGCCGCGUACUCCAGCUCUGGCACCGACGAGCCAGUGGACUUGAAGCUGGCCCCCAGCAGCCCGCCGGCGCCCACCCCGCGGGGCAGCGACCCGGGCCCGGCCCCUGCCGCCGCCCCCGCGCCUCGGCGGAACGAGUUGCGCAGCAGGCGGGCCUUGGGCUUCACCUCCACCGGGAUCUCGCAGGCCUCGCCGCCGCCCGCCCCGUACGUGUCCUCGAUCACUUCCCCGCCCGCGGGGCUCACGAGCGACGAGGCGGUCCCCAUGGCGUCCGUUGCCGCUACUACCUAGCUGUUUAGUCCUGCUCAGUUCUACCAAGUGAACUCUGACUUCUAAAGUCUCCUACUACAAAGUCUGAAUUGGUGAAGAAGAGGAGUUUAGUGCCAAGGUGGGUGCAAGGGUGAAACAAAGGCAACACAUCCACAUGCACUGGACAGGGAAAUGGGGUUACUUAAAGGUUGUUUCAAAAUAUGGACUUAGGAAGGAAAAAGAAACAAGAUUAAAAAGGAACAAGUAGCUAGGAGAGAAAAAUAUGAAGAAGGUUAUGGAUAUGAAGAUGCAUUUUUGGUGAAUAAAUUAAGCCCAGUAGGUGACCUGCACAAGACGCAUAAUGUGACCUGCCCAAGACGCAUAAUGUGACCCGAACUAAGAUGGAGCUCAAUGUAGAAAAAUGUCACACACAAUUUUCAUCUCUACAAAGUAUCUUUGAUAUUGACACAUUCAUUUUUCUUUGCUUAUUUGCUUAUUUUCUUUGCUUAUUUGACUUUGCUUUCUUUGCUUAUUUGACACUUUAUUUUUUAAAAUUUUAAAUAUACAAAUUAAAUAGAAUCAUUACAAGUAUAAAGUAGAUAGAAUAAUGAAUCUCCAUGUACAUAUCACCCAAGUUUAAAAUUGUUCAACAUUCAAACGGUUAUUUCAACCAGUUAUUUUUUUCGUCUAUUCUAAUACCCAUUCUCCAACCCUCCAUUUAUUAUUCUUUAACAAAAUUUUCAAGGUAGAAUUUAUAAUCAUGGAAAAUACAAAUCUUAACCGUACAAUAUUGGCAAAUGGAUCUACUUAUGUAACUGUACUGUUACAGACUAAAUGGUGUCCCUCCAUAAUUCAUAUACUGAAUUCUUAAAUCCCAGUGUGACUAUAUUUGGAGACAGGGUCUAUAAGGAGGUAAUAAUGGUUAAGUGAAGUCAUAGGAUGGGGCCUUAAUCUGAUAGGGCUCAUGUUCUUAUCAGGAGAGGAAGAGAUGCCGGAGAUCUCUCUUUCUGUGCAUGCACAAAGAAGAGAUCAUGUCAGCAUAUGGUGUGACGGCAGUGCCUACACGCCAAGGUAAGAGGCCUCAGAUUGAUACCUGUCAUGGCUGUACCUUGAUCUUGGACUUUCCAGCCUCCAAAACUGUGAGAAAUAAUCCACCCAGUAUUUUGCUAUUUUGUAAAGCAGCCUGAGCUGACUAAUAUAUGCACACUAGCAUGAUAGGAAGCAUAGCAAUCUACCCAGGAAAUUCUCUUGUGUCUCUUUCCAGUCAAUUUCUAAUGCUCUUCUUCCCACCCUUGAGGCAGCCACUGUUCGUUUUCCCCCCUUAUAUUAGUUUUGCCUAUUUUAGAAAUUCAUAUAGAUGAAAUAAUUCAGUAUGUUGUCUUUUUUGUUUCUUUCAUUCAAUAUUCUGUCUGUAAGACUUACCUGUGCUAUGACUCCUUUUCGUUGUUCCAUAGUAUUCCAUCGUGUGAGUAUAAUUGAUCUAUUCUCAUGUUGUAGACAUUUGAGUUGAUUCCAGCUUUUGUGACUAUAACUGCUAUGAACAUUCUUGUACAAGUCUUUCUGUGGGCAUGAGUUAUGACUUCUCUUGGAUAAAUGCCUAGAAGUGAAAUUGCUGGGUCAAAGACUACAAAUAUGUUUCACCCAUUCUAGUGAAUGUGUAGUGGUAUCUCAUUGGAAUUAUAGCUUACAUUUCCCUGAUGACUAAUAAUGUGGAACACUUUUUUAAUGUGCUUAUUGGUCAUUUGUAUAUUUUUUUCUGUGAAGUGUCUGCUGUGCCUUUACUUAUUUGGAAUUGCUUACUAAGUUGUAAUUCAUUAUAUGUUCUGCAUGUAGACAUAUAAUUUGUGAUAUUUUCUGUAUGUCUGUGGCUUGCCUAUUCCUAAGAAGAGGAAAAUAGCAGAAGAUAGCAUUUAGAAGAAUACACAAGCCACAGACAUACAGAAAAAUAUAUGCUAUCUUUUGAUGAACACAAAUUUUAAAUUUUAAUGAAAUCUAAUUCAUCAAAUUUUUUUCCUACGGUUAUCACUGACUGCAUUCUGCCUAAGAAAUCUUUGCCUACCUCAUGUUAUGAAAACACUAUUCUUGAUUUUCUUUGAAAGGCUUUAUGGUUUUAGUUUUUACGUUUAGGCCUAUGAUCUAUGUUAAUAUUAACAUACUUGAAAUCACAUUGUGUAUAUAGCUUUGUAAUAUUCUCCCACCUCCAACACUAUUUCAUCAAUCUUUUCACAUGUCAUUGAAGAUACUUCAUAAAUAAUAUUAGGAGUUGUGUGACUUUCUAUGCUAUAGAUGUGCUGUAAUUUAUUUAAUGGUUCCUUUAUUUUUGGACAUUUAGAUUAUUCUCCCUCUGCUUUUAUACUUGUAAUAAAAAUCUGUUUUUGCAUA